This 171-nucleotide ribosomal RNA is filed under the name uncultured Kurthia sp. RNAcentral describes it as "partial 16S ribosomal RNA". It matches the Rfam family "Bacterial small subunit ribosomal RNA", at positions 359 to 525 of the family's 1533-position model. The record is from RNAcentral. Lineage: Bacteria; Bacillati; Bacillota; Bacilli; Caryophanales; Caryophanaceae.
GGAUCUUCCACAUGGACGAAGUCUGAUGGAGCACGCCGCGUGAGUGAUGAAGGUUUUCGGAUCGUAAAACUCUGUUGUAAGGGAAGAACAAGUACGUUAGGAAAUGAACGUACCUUGACGGUACCUUAUUAGAAAGCCACGGCUAACUACGUGCCAGCAGCCGCGGUAAUA